This 1411-nucleotide ribosomal RNA is filed under the name Lactiplantibacillus plantarum. RNAcentral's name for it is "bacterial SSU rRNA". It matches the Rfam family "Bacterial small subunit ribosomal RNA", at positions 61 to 1438 of the family's 1533-position model. The record is from RNAcentral. Lineage: Bacteria; Bacillati; Bacillota; Bacilli; Lactobacillales; Lactobacillaceae.
GUCGAACGAACUCUGGUAUUGAUUGGUGCUUGCAUCAUGAUUUACAUUUGAGUGAGUGGCGAACUGGUGAGUAACACGUGGGAAACCUGCCCAGAAGCGGGGGAUAACACCUGGAAACAGAUGCUAAUACCGCAUAACAACUUGGACCGCAUGGUCCGAGUUUGAAAGAUGGCUUCGGCUAUCACUUUUGGAUGGUCCCGCGGCGUAUUAGCUAGAUGGUGAGGUAACGGCUCACCAUGGCAAUGAUACGUAGCCGACCUGAGAGGGUAAUCGGCCACAUUGGGACUGAGACACGGCCCAAACUCCUACGGGAGGCAGCAGUAGGGAAUCUUCCACAAUGGACGAAAGUCUGAUGGAGCAACGCCGCGUGAGUGAAGAAGGGUUUCGGCUCGUAAAACUCUGUUGUUAAAGAAGAACAUAUCUGAGAGUAACUGUUCAGGUAUUGACGGUAUUUAACCAGAAAGCCACGGCUAACUACGUGCCAGCAGCCGCGGUAAUACGUAGGUGGCAAGCGUUGUCCGGAUUUAUUGGGCGUAAAGCGAGCGCAGGCGGUUUUUUAAGUCUGAUGUGAAAGCCUUCGGCUCAACCGAAGAAGUGCAUCGGAAACUGGGAAACUUGAGUGCAGAAGAGGACAGUGGAACUCCAUGUGUAGCGGUGAAAUGCGUAGAUAUAUGGAAGAACACCAGUGGCGAAGGCGGCUGUCUGGUCUGUAACUGACGCUGAGGCUCGAAAGUAUGGGUAGCAAACAGGAUUAGAUACCCUGGUAGUCCAUACCGUAAACGAUGAAUGCUAAGUGUUGGAGGGUUUCCGCCCUUCAGUGCUGCAGCUAACGCAUUAAGCAUUCCGCCUGGGGAGUACGGCCGCAAGGCUGAAACUCAAAGGAAUUGACGGGGGCCCGCACAAGCGGUGGAGCAUGUGGUUUAAUUCGAAGCUACGCGAAGAACCUUACCAGGUCUUGACAUACUAUGCAAAUCUAAGAGAUUAGACGUUCCCUUAGGGGACAUGGAUACAGGUGGUGCAUGGUUGUCGUCAGCUCGUGUCGUGAGAUGUUGGGUUAAGUCCCGCAACGAGCGCAACCCUUAUUAUCAGUUGCCAGCAUUAAGUUGGGCACUCUGGUGAGACUGCCGGUGACAAACCGGAGGAAGGUGGGGAUGACGUCAAAUCAUCAUGCCCCUUAUGACCUGGGCUACACACGUGCUACAAUGGAUGGUACAACGAGUUGCGAACUCGCGAGAGUAAGCUAAUCUCUUAAAGCCAUUCUCAGUUCGGAUUGUAGGCUGCAACUCGCCUACAUGAAGUCGGAAUCGCUAGUAAUCGCGGAUCAGCAUGCCGCGGUGAAUACGUUCCCGGGCCUUGUACACACCGCCCGUCACACCAUGAGAGUUUGUAACACCCAAAGUCGGUGGGGUAA